This 1241-nucleotide ribosomal RNA is filed under the name metagenome. Its description in RNAcentral is "bacterial LSU rRNA". It matches the Rfam family "Bacterial large subunit ribosomal RNA", at positions 1564 to 2814 of the family's 2925-position model. The record is from RNAcentral.
UGAGUACAAGAUGCUACGGCAUUGAAGCAGUCUAUGUCAUACUUCCAAGAAAAGCUUGCAAUGUCAUAAACAAAUAAUGCCUGUACCAUAACCGACACAGGUGGGUAGGUAGAGUAUACUAAGGGGCGCGAGAUAACUCUCUCUAAGGAACUCGGCAAAAUGACUCCGUAACUUCGGGAGAAGGAGUACCUUAUUUUAUAAGGUUGCAAUAACAAGGUCCAAGCAACUGUUUACCAAAAACACAGGUCUCCGCUAAGUCGUAAGACGAUGUAUGGGGGCUGACGCCUGCCCAGUGCCAGAAGGUUAAAGAAGUUGGUUAGCAUUAGCGAAGCUGAUAACUGAAGCCCUGGUGAACGGCGGCCGUAACGAUAACGGUCCUAAGGUAGCGAAAUUCCUUGUCGGGUAAGUUCCGACCCGCACGAAAGGCGUAAUGAUUUGGAUACUGUCUCGGAGAGGGGCUCGGUGAAAUAGACUUGUCUGUGAAGAUGCGGACUACCUGCACCUGGACAGAAAGACCCUAUGAAGCUUUACUGUAACUUGAGAUUGAAAUUGGACUUUAUUUGCGCAGUAUAGGUUGGAGACCUCGAAAGUAUUCUUGCGGGAAUAUUGGAGUCAUCAGUGAGAUACCACUCUUAUAAUGUUAGAUUUCUAACUUUGUAUCAUUAUCUGGUCAAAGAACAGUUUCAGGCGGGCAGUUUGACUGGGGCGGUCGCCUCCCAAAUGGUAACGGAGGCGCACAAAGGUUUCCUCUGAACGUGUAGAAAUCGUAUCUAGAGUGUAAAGGCAUAAGGAAGCUUGACUGUGAGACCUACAAGUCGAGCAGGGACGAAAGUCGGUCUUAGUGAUCUGACGGUGCUGAGUGGAAAGGCCGUCACUCAACGGAUAAAAGUUACUCUAGGAUAACAGGCUGAUCUCCCCCAAGAGUUCACAUCGACGGGGAGGUUUGGCACCUCGAUGUCGGCUCAUCGCAUCCUGGGGCGGUAGUACGUCCCAAGGGUUGGGCUGUUCGCCCAUGAAAGCGGUACGCGAGCUGGGUUCAGAACGUCGUGAGACAGUUCGGUCCAUAUCCGGUGUAGGCGUUAGAAUAUUGAGAGGAGCCUUCUUUAGUACGAGAGGACCGAGAAGGACAUACCUCUGGUGUACCAGUUAUCGUGCCAACGGUAAACGCUGGGUAGCUAUGUAUGGAGAGGAUAACCGCUGAAAGCAUCUAAGUGGGAAGCCCACCUCAAGAUAAGUAUUCU